This 301-nucleotide ribosomal RNA is filed under the name uncultured bacterium. Its description in RNAcentral is "partial 16S ribosomal RNA". It matches the Rfam family "Bacterial small subunit ribosomal RNA", at positions 509 to 807 of the family's 1533-position model. The record is from RNAcentral.
CAGCAGCCACGGGAAUACGGAGGGGGCUAGCGUUGUUCGGAAUUACUGGGCGUAAAGCGCACGUAGGCGGCUUGGUAAGCUAGAGGUGAAAGCCUGGAGCUCAACUCCAGAAUUGCCUUUAAGACUGCCGAGCUAGUAGGUGAGAGAGGUAAGUGGAAUUCCGAGUGUAGAGGUGAAAUUCGUAGAUAUUCGGAAGAACACCAGUGGCGAAGGCGGCUUACUGGCUCAUUCUAGACGCUGAGGUGCGAAAGCGUGGGGAGCAAACAGGAUUAGAUACCCCAGUAGUCCCUGUCUCUUAUAC